GUAUUAGGCAACAACCUUUCCUCCUCGCUGAAAGUGCUUUACAACCCGAAGGCCUUCUUCACACACGCGGCAUGGCUGCAUCAGGGUUUCCCCCAUUGUGCAAUAUUCCCCACUGCUGCCUCCCGUAGGAGUCUGGACCGUGUCUCAGUUCCAGUGUGGCUGAUCAUCCUCUCAGACCAGCUAGGGAUCGUCGCCUUGGUGAGCCAUUACCUCACCAACUAGCUAAUCCCACCUGGGCAUAUCCAAUCGCGCAAGGCCCGAAGGUCCCCUGCUUUCCCCCGUAGGGCGUAUGCGGUAUUAGCAGUCGUUUCCAACUGUUAUCCCCCUCGACUGGGCAAUUUCCCAGGCAUUACUCACCCGUCCGCCGCUCGCCGGCAAAAGUAGCAAGCUACUUUCCCGCUGCCGCUCGACUUGCAUGUGUUAGGCCUG
Molecule: ribosomal RNA, 429 nt
Filed under: Aeromonas hydrophila
Lineage: Bacteria; Pseudomonadati; Pseudomonadota; Gammaproteobacteria; Aeromonadales; Aeromonadaceae
Description: partial 16S rRNA
Source: RNAcentral